RNAcentral lists this ribosomal RNA (358 nucleotides) under uncultured Desulfocapsa sp. Its description in RNAcentral is "bacterial SSU rRNA". It matches the Rfam family "Bacterial small subunit ribosomal RNA", at positions 1023 to 1382 of the family's 1533-position model. The record is from RNAcentral. Lineage: Bacteria; Pseudomonadati; Thermodesulfobacteriota; Desulfobulbia; Desulfobulbales; Desulfocapsaceae.
GUGGCUCGGAGACAGGUGCUGCAUGGCUGUCGUCAGCUCGUGUCGUGAGAUGUUGGGUUAAGUCCCGCAACGAGCGCAACCCUUGUCUUUAGUUGCCAUCAUUCAGUUGGGCACUCUAAAGAGACUGCCGGUGUCAAACCGGAGGAAGGUGGGGAUGACGUCAAGUCCUCAUGGCCUUUAUGACCAGGGCUACACACGUACUACAAUGGCCGGUACAAAGGGCAGCCACUUAGCGAUAAGGAGCCAAUCCCGUAAAGCCGGUCUCAGUCCGGAUUGGAGUCUGCAACUCGACUCCAUGAAGUUGGAAUCGCUAGUAAUCGCAGAUCAGCACGCUGCGGUGAAUACGUUCCCGGGCCUU